CCUACGGGGUGCAGCAGUGAGGAAUAUUGGUCAAUGGACGAGAGUCUGAACCAGCCAAGUAGCGUGAAGGAUGACUGCCCUAUGGGUUGUAAACUUCUUUUAUAUGGGAAUAAAAUGUUCCACGUGUGGGAUUUUGUAUGUACCAUAUGAAUAAGGAUCGGCUAACUCCGUGCCAGCAGCCGCGGUAAUACGGAGGAUCCGAGCGUUAUCCGGAUUUAUUGGGUUUAAAGGGAGCGUAGGUGGAUUGUUAAGUCAGUUGUGAAAGUUUGCGGCUCAACCGUAAAAUUGCAGUUGAAACUGGCAGUCUUGAGUACAGUAGAGGUGGGCGGAAUUCGUGGUGUAGCGGUGAAAUGCUUAGAUAUCACGAAGAACUCCGAUUGCGAAAGCAGUUCACUGGACUGCAACUGACACUGAGGCUCGAAAGUGUGGGUAUCAAACAGGAUUAGAUACCCUUGUAGUC
RNAcentral lists this ribosomal RNA (460 nucleotides) under uncultured bacterium. RNAcentral describes it as "partial 16S ribosomal RNA". It matches the Rfam family "Bacterial small subunit ribosomal RNA", at positions 338 to 795 of the family's 1533-position model. The record is from RNAcentral.